UGCGUAGGUGGCAUGGUAAGUCGGAUGUGAAAUCCCGGGGCUCAACCCCGGAACUGCAUUCGAUACUGCUGCGCUAGAGUACUGGAGAGGAGAUUGGAAUUUACGGUGUAGCAGUGAAAUGCGUAGAUAUCGUAAGGAAGACCAGUGGCGAAGGCGGAUCUCUGGACAGUUACUGACACUGAGGCACGAAGGCCAGGGGAGCAAACG
This 207-nucleotide ribosomal RNA is filed under the name uncultured bacterium. RNAcentral's name for it is "partial 16S ribosomal RNA". It matches the Rfam family "Bacterial small subunit ribosomal RNA", at positions 568 to 774 of the family's 1533-position model. The record is from RNAcentral.